GGGGAUGACAUGGCUUCGACGAGGAGUUGGAUUUCAAGGAUGCAUGUCGAGGACAAAGAUUGCUCGUAAAAACGUUCUUUAAAUAAUAGUUGCAAACGAAAACAACUACGCUUUAGCAGCAUAAUGCUAACCGUUAC
RNAcentral lists this transfer-messenger RNA (137 nucleotides) under Gammaproteobacteria bacterium. Its description in RNAcentral is "partial transfer-messenger RNA". It matches the Rfam family "transfer-messenger RNA", at positions 1 to 139 of the family's 374-position model. Rfam says of the family: Bacterial tmRNA, also known as 10Sa RNA or SsrA, is named for its dual tRNA and mRNA-like properties. Lineage: Bacteria; Pseudomonadati; Pseudomonadota; Gammaproteobacteria. The record is from RNAcentral.